This 490-nucleotide ribosomal RNA is filed under the name uncultured bacterium. Its description in RNAcentral is "bacterial SSU rRNA". It matches the Rfam family "Bacterial small subunit ribosomal RNA", at positions 28 to 507 of the family's 1533-position model. The record is from RNAcentral.
GAUGAACGCUAGCGGCAGGCUUAACACAUGCAAGUCGAGGGGUAACAUAGAAAAGCUUGCUUUUCUGAUGACGACCGGCGCACGGGUGCGUAACGCGUAUACAACCUACCUUUUAGCGGGGAAUAGCCCAGGGAAACUUGGAUUAAUGCCCCAUAGUAUAUAGACUUCUCCUGAAGUUUAUAUUAAACAUUUAUGGCUAUUAGAUGGGUAUGCGUCCUAUUAGUUAGUUGGUAAGGUAACGGCUUACCAAGGCAGCGAUAGGUAGGGGUCCUGAGAGGGAGAUCCCCACACUGGUACUGAGACACGGACCAGACUCCUACGGGAGGCAGCAGUGAGGAAUAUUGGACAAUGGGCGAGAGCCUGAUCCAGCCAUGCCGCGUGCAGGAAGACUGCCCUAGUGGGUUAGUAAACUGUCUUUUACAGAGGAAGAACCCACCCCACGUGUGGGGGUUUGACGGUACUCUGCGAAUAAGGAUCGGCUAACUCCGUG